Molecule: ribosomal RNA, 465 nt
Filed under: uncultured bacterium
Lineage: Bacteria
Description: partial 16S ribosomal RNA
Rfam family: Bacterial small subunit ribosomal RNA
Source: RNAcentral
CUACGGGCCGCUGCAGUGGGGAAUAUUGCACAAUGGGCGCAAGCCUGAUGCAGCCAUGCCGCGUGUAUGAAGAAGGCCUUCGGGUUGUAAAGUACUUUCAGCGGGGAGGAAGGGAGUAAAGUUAAUACCUUUGCUCAUUGACGUUACCCGCAGAAGAAGCACCGGCUAACUCCGUGCCAGCAGCCGCGGUAAUAGCGGAGGGUGCAAGCGUUAAUCGGAAUUACUGGGCGUAAAGCGCACGCAGGCGGUUUGUUAAGUCAGAUGUGAAAUCCCCGGGCUCAACCUGGGAACUGCAUCUGAUACUGGCAAGCUUGAGUCUCGUAGAGGGGGGUAGAAUUCCAGGUGUAGCGGUGAAAUGCGUAGAGAUCUGGAGGAAUACCGGUGGCGAAGGCGGCCCCCUGGACGAAGACUGACGCUCAGGUGCGAAAGCGUGGGGAGCAAACAGGAUUAGAUACCCUGGUAGUC